UGGUGUUAGCUUCAGCAGCUCGAUAAAAUUGGAAUGAUAAGGAGAAGAUUAGCACGGCCCCUGGCAAGGAUGACACUCAAACUCUCUAGAAGCAUUCCGCAAGGGG
Molecule: small nuclear RNA, 106 nt
Organism: Meriones unguiculatus (Mongolian gerbil)
Lineage: Eukaryota; Metazoa; Chordata; Mammalia; Rodentia; Muridae
Source: Ensembl